CGCUGCCAGCGGAGAACGAGUU
This 22-nucleotide microRNA is filed under the name Gallus gallus (chicken). Its description in RNAcentral is "gga-miR-1772-5p". Lineage: Eukaryota; Metazoa; Chordata; Aves; Galliformes; Phasianidae. The record is from miRBase by way of RNAcentral.